AGUUCCAACCCGAACAGUCGCCGGAUGGCGUGCGUGCCGAAAGGAUAGGGUUGGAACUUUUA
This 62-nucleotide non-coding RNA is filed under the name unclassified sequences. RNAcentral describes it as "DUF3800-IX RNA". It matches the Rfam family "DUF3800-IX RNA". Rfam says of the family: Actinobacteria, Firmicutes (1 example), Nitrospirae, Proteobacteria, Verrucomicrobia (1 example). The record is from Rfam by way of RNAcentral.